UGUUAGAACUUAAAAGAAGAUUAGACAAGUGUCGUCUGCUUGGUGCUUGCGUUUAGGUGAAAAUUUCGAAAAAGUCAGAGACAAAGUUCAGGAUUUAUAUACUUAUCUUAUAGAUUUAUUUGUUUUUGAUAACCAUCAUACUUCAUGCUGUUUAGUGGAUUUGAGGACAGAUCCAGCCAUCAUAACCACAGAAUACGCAAGUUUUCUUGUGCAGUGUUAACCUGUCAUCACAUCAGCAACAAUCUCAGGAUUCGCUUGGAUAAAAAGCAUCCCAUUGCAUUGGAAUGCAAUCUAAUGCAUUGCCAAUCGAGUUACGGAUCUCUUUGUUUCCCCUUUCCUUAAAUGUCCUCGUGUACGCCCGUGUGAAUGUGGGUUUAUUCACGAGGACACCCUUUACCCUAUCCUGUCUGGUGUAAUUUAACUCUUCAGCGGAUGGAUGGAGCAACUGUAGAUGCCUGGCUAUAUUUCUCAGGCAUUAAGGUAGGACCAAAUUUAUCUCUAUUCUUACUUUUGGACAAUUUUUGGUGGCGUUGAUUAUGAAUCGUCACUUAGUCACGGAGUACGUUAUUUGAGCUAUUAGGCGGUUGACUGCAACUGUUUUAUUCUCUCUCCUUAUUUUGUUUUUUCUCAGUAAGGGUUCACUAAAAAUUCUCAUUUGUCGAACGACUGCAGAUGAGGCUUGUUUUGUUUUGUACCUCACAACUUUUUCUGUGGGAGAAAACCCAUUCGAAAAUAUUUGAACUUAAAACAAUUUGAGCAAAGUGCAACAAGACAAUUUUUUGACCAAGAGGGACCUGCCGCCACACCGGCACCUCCUCGUUUUAUCUGAUCUCGAAUAGCACUGCAUUUGGCAACUUGUUUCCAGAAAAUUAUCGAGUGGUAAUAAGGUAGUGGCUAUUAAUGUGUAUCGUGGUUUGAACCUUCAUUCUCCAAGCACGAUACCAUUCAAUAUAGCAAGAGUUUAGCUCGGCUCAAAUUGUAAAAUGUUCUUUAAUCCAUAAGGAAUUUGAUUUUACACCACCAUUUCAAUGGAACAUGUCUCAAGUUCAAAAUCUAAACUCAAUUUUCAAAAAUAAUAGGCUAAAACAUUUAUCAAGUCAUGUAGAUUAUAAUGGGAGUAUAUAUUAUUAAUAAGACGGACGGAAUCGAUACAUAAUCAUGAGAACAAACACUAAAAAAUCUACAUCAGAAUAGUCUAAAAUCAAACAUGAUC
Daphnia pulicaria is the source of this 1213-nucleotide long non-coding RNA. RefSeq lists it as uncharacterized. The transcript has 3 exons. The record is from RefSeq and is a predicted model, not a curated record. Lineage: Eukaryota; Metazoa; Arthropoda; Branchiopoda; Diplostraca; Daphniidae.